This is a long non-coding RNA of Dicentrarchus labrax (European seabass), 650 nucleotides long. RefSeq lists it as uncharacterized. The record is from RefSeq and is a predicted model, not a curated record. NCBI's taxonomy places the organism in Eukaryota, Metazoa, Chordata, Actinopteri, Moronidae. The transcript is spliced from 3 exons.
GCCUGAGCAAAUUCAGACAGUUGAGACUCUGUGUUAGCAAAUACCGAUACACAAAGGACAUUUUUGAGAUAAAUAAAGACUUCCAGAGAAAAUGGCCAGACUUUACCGUCGCGCAACAAAAUUGAUGGAUAUAGUCUCAUCAAGGACAGGAACUACAGGAGUGACAAUCAGACAUAUAAAAGACAUGCGUCUUAAUUAUUUAAUUAAAAUUAUUAGGCUUAUCUUUGUUGACAGUUACCAAUUCAGAUUAUAUUUGGUUAGUUACUUUCUUUUUCCUUUUUCUUAAAUAGCCCACUGCCUUGGAGAGAUGGAAGAGGACCAUUCUCAAGGAAUUUAGAGACACAGAAGUGUUUGAGGCAGGCCUUGAUAGACAACUUAUGAAAACUGCCACCAUCGGUGACCAGUCCACCCCAGAAUCUGACCAUAUGAUAGCAACCAUCAUGGUUGAGGGAACCAAAAUCCUGGAGGGCAAGGAUAUCCCAAGGUGCUGUGCUUUGCUGACGGGAACCCGAGCGGAAAUGUACAUUGAUAGUGACAGUCUGCUACUGUUUGUUGCAGUUUUUUGUAAAAUUGAUCGUAAAGGUAUAAUGUGUAAAAAAGACUGCAGGACCUUGAGAAGAUUGCUAGCCAUGUAUGGGACAAUUUAAAUG